UACUGUGCUGUGAGCCAUUCCCUCUGGUUGAGGCUGAGCAGGAAUCUGGUCCUUGCAGGACAGGAUUUGUGUGGAGGCUAUAGCCAGACAUCAAUGCACUGCCACCAAGGACAGGGACAAACUCCACUUGUUGUGGCUUAAAGAGAAAUCCUGCUUGCAAAUCACUCCAGGAUUAGUUUCAGGGCAGCAGGGAGCUCCCAAAGCCAGGUCCCAGUGCUCCCAGCUGCUCUGCAGCUGCCCAUUGCCAAAUAGUCUGGGCAUCAGAGGGCAGACUGGUAUCUGCUCCAAGCAGUUUCUCAGAAGCACGUGAUGCAGAGUCCACCAGACAGAAAAUCUGGGAGCCUACUCAGAACUAUCUCAUACCUUUGACCUCCACUGUCCUUCUGGGGGGAGGCAGAUUCAUGGUUGCUAUAAACACUUUGGAUGCUGCAUUGGGGCUCCAUAAACUCCUUCUCCAGUGAGAGAAAAACAAUCACAGUAAUACACCUCCAAAAGAAAGAUCCUGAAGGAGUGUGGGACUCCCCAAAACAGAGCAAAACUCAGCCAAGAGGAACUGCUCUCCCAGUCCAGCUAAUUUAUUCACUAGAAGACUCCUAAAGCAUCAUCCAUGACAUCCCCAGAGAAUUGGAGAGAGACAAUUUACAAGGGCCUGGAGUGACAGGACAAGGGGGAAUGGCUGCCCACUGCCAGAGGGCAGGGCUGGAGGGGAUAUGGGAAAGAAUUCUUCCCUCUGAGGGUAGGGAGGCCCUGGCACAGGUUGCCCAGUGAAGAUGUGGCUGCCGUAGAUCUGCAAGUGUCCAAGGCCAGAUUGGGCAGGGCUUGGAGCAACCUGGGACAGUGGAAGGUGUCACUGCCCAUGGCAGGGUGUGGAACAACAUGAGCUUUAAAGUCCUUUCCAACCCAAACCAGUCCAGGACUCUAUGAUAAAUUGUGCUGAGCAUUUCA
Long non-coding RNA from Passer domesticus (house sparrow), 945 nucleotides. RefSeq lists it as uncharacterized. Lineage: Eukaryota; Metazoa; Chordata; Aves; Passeriformes; Passeridae. The transcript is spliced from 3 exons. The record is from RefSeq and is a predicted model, not a curated record.